ACUUCUAAAUUUUGUCUGGGAAGAAGCUUUGAUAUUUGCUCCAAAAGAUUUCAGCUGCUGAAAACAAGCGUCUAAAAUAUGUCGGAGUGGGAGGCGGACCCGGAGUAACGACGGAGUCUCAAUAUAUUAUUUUUUGAAAGUUGAGCACCUGGGAAAUACAGAAGUUUCCAGAAUUUCUGCCUCUGCUGUGUCUCUUCUAUGGAUAAAUAAAGAAAUGAAAAAUAACAUCAGGGACCACUAAGAUGUCCUGGGGGAA
This 256-nucleotide long non-coding RNA is filed under the name Apteryx owenii (little spotted kiwi). RNAcentral describes it as "lncRNA (ENSAOWG00000013539.1)". The record is from RNAcentral. Lineage: Eukaryota; Metazoa; Chordata; Aves; Apterygiformes; Apterygidae.